Molecule: ribosomal RNA, 489 nt
Filed under: uncultured bacterium
Lineage: Bacteria
Description: partial 16S ribosomal RNA
Rfam family: Bacterial small subunit ribosomal RNA
Source: RNAcentral
AUUGAACGCUGGCGGCAGGCCUAACACAUGCAAGUCGAACGGUAACAGGAAGACGCUUGCUUCUUUGCUGACGAGUGGCGGACGGGUGAGUAAUGUCUGGGAAACUGCCUGAUGGAGGGGGAUAACUACUGGAAACGGUAGCUAAUACCGCAUAACGUCGCAAGACCAAAGAGGGGGACCUUCGGGCCUCUUGCCAUCGGAUGUGCCCAGAUGGGAUUAGCUAGUAGGUGGGGUAACGGCUCACCUAGGCGACGAUCCCUAGCUGGUCUGAGAGGAUGACCAGCAACACGGGAACUGAGAAACGGUCCAGACGCCUACGGGAGGCAGAAGGGGGAAUAUUGCACAAUGGGCGCAAGCCUGAUGCAGCCAUGCCGCGUGUAUGAAGAAGGCCUUCGGGUUGUAAAGUACUUUCAGCGGGGAGGAAGGGAGUAAAGUUAAUACCUUUGCUCAUUGACGUUACCCGCAGAAGAAGCACCGGCUAACUCCGUG